Molecule: ribosomal RNA, 328 nt
Filed under: uncultured eukaryote
Lineage: Eukaryota
Description: partial 18S ribosomal RNA
Rfam family: Eukaryotic small subunit ribosomal RNA
Source: RNAcentral
CCCUUAGAUGUCCGGGGCUGCACGCGCGCUACACUGAAGGAAUCAGCGUGCUAAAACCAUUGUCGAAAGGCAUUGGUAAACCCAUUAAAAUCCUACGUGAUUGGGAUCGGGAAUUGCAAUUAUUUCCCUUGAACGAGGAAUUCCCAGUAAGUGUGGGUCAUAAGCUAGCGUUGAUUACGUCCCUGCCCUUUGUACACACCGCCCGUCGCUGCCCGGGACUGAGCCGUUUCGAGAAAAGCGGGGACUGCUGCUGUCGGGGCUUUCGGGCCUUGGCUUCGGUGGAAACCGCUUUAAUCGCAGUGGCUUGAACCGGGCAAAAGUCGUAACA